GACGAACCGUGCGAACGUUGUUCGGAAUCACUGGGCUUAAAGGGCGCGUAGGCGGGCCAUCAAGUCAGGGGUGAAAUCCUCCAGCUCAACUGGAGAACAGCUUUUGAUACUGGUGGUCUCGAGUGGGGUGAGGGGCAUGGUGGAACUUCCGGUGGAGCGGUGAAAUGCGUAGAUAUCUGGAGGAAUACCGGGUGGCGAAGGCGGCAUCCUGGACCGAGAUUGACGCUGAGGAGCGAAAGCUAGGGGAGCAA
This 251-nucleotide ribosomal RNA is filed under the name uncultured bacterium. RNAcentral describes it as "partial 16S ribosomal RNA". It matches the Rfam family "Bacterial small subunit ribosomal RNA", at positions 524 to 771 of the family's 1533-position model. The record is from RNAcentral.